UAGUAGGGUCCACAUAGAUACUAGUCAUGCUGGUGUAGUCUAUAGCUGAGCUGGUUAAACUGUAGUAGGGUCCACAUAGAUACUAGUCAUGCUGGUGUAGUCUAUAGCUGAGCUGGUUAAACUGUAGUAGGGUCCACAUAGAUACUAGUCAUGCUGGUGUAGUCUAUAGCUGAGCUGGUUAAACUGUAGUAGGGUCCACAUAGAUACUAGUCAUGCUGGUGUAGUCUAUAGCUGAGCUGGUUAAACUAUAGUAGGGUCCACAUAGAUAGUAGUCAUGCUGGUGUAGUCUAUAGCUGAGCUGGUUAAACUGUAGUAGGGUCCACAUAGAUACUAGUUAUGCUGGUGUAGUCUAUAGCUGAGCUGGUUAAACUGUAGUAGGUUCCACAUAGAUACUAGUCAUGCUGGUGUAGUCUAUAGCUGAGCUGGUUAAGUUGUAGUAGGUUCCACAUAGAUACUAAUCAUGCUGGUGUUGAUGGUCCUCAGAUGUUAUGAUCAGUGGCAAUUUUAGCAUGUAAAUCUUGGUGGGGCAAAAAAAACAAAGCACAGAUUUAACAAGACAUUAAUUGCACUAUAAUGGUUACCAACAGUGCCAACAAACUGUUAGGGCCGACAUAAAGCUGUCCCAACAGCAGAGUCCCAACACCUUACCACUGCUACACCUGCCGAUCAGCGGAGUCCCAACAGCAGAGUCCCAACACCUUACCACUGCUACACCUGCCGAUCAGCGGAGCUUUGUCUUAGCAGUGGACCAACAGUGCCAACAAACUGUUAAGGCCGACUGUUGUGGAAUUAUCAGAAUUAGUUGAGUAACAUAGAUAAGAUGUGUUAUUUUAUAUUUUUAUUAUUAUUAUUUUCAUGAUAUGCUUAUGACUUAUUUCUCAUAAGAAUGUAUUUUGUUGUACUAUAGUGGUGGUCAUUGGCAGUUAUCUGUUCUAUGUCAGGACUAAGUUGCAUGGGCCACAGAGAGGGGAGAGGUCAAAGUGUCAUCAUGUGUAAACAUAUCUUUUACUCCCUACCUUUCCCAGUAUGGGAAAAGGAGGGUUGCAGUGUCUGGAAUCAUUCUAUGCUCCCUCUAAUGUUGUUUCUAUCUUAACCUAUAGCCUCAUUCUCCUCUCCGUGAGUUUGUCCAGAAGGUUGUAUUCUGAGUUGGUUGUAUCUAAAUGACAAUUUGAUAUAUGCCUGUUGAUAUGGAGGAUUUGGUUUAUGGUUCUGAGGUUUGGAAAAGGAGACAAAGCUGAAUUAUGAAUUAUGUCUAUGCUGACUGACUAUGGGUGUCUUUGCUAUUAAAGGAACUCGGUUGCAUUGUAAGGGGGCUCUCAGAGAAUUCACUGAGAGACACUGAAUUUAUCUGAGAGUCACAGGAUUGUGAUAGAGCUCAUAUAAUUAAAGAUGGACUUUUAUAACUAA
Oncorhynchus keta (chum salmon) is the source of this 1407-nucleotide long non-coding RNA. RefSeq lists it as uncharacterized. The transcript has 2 exons. The record is from RefSeq and is a predicted model, not a curated record. Lineage: Eukaryota; Metazoa; Chordata; Actinopteri; Salmoniformes; Salmonidae.